CCUACGGGAGGCAGCAGUGGGGAAUCUUGCGCAAUGGGCGAAAGCCUGACGCAGCAACGCCGCGUGCGGGAAGAAGGCCCUAGGGUUGUAAACCGCUUUCAGUAGGAACGAAAAUGACGGUACCUGCAGAAGAAGGUGCGGCCAACUACGUGCCAGCAGCCGCGGUGACACGUAGGCACCAAGCGUUGUCCGGAUUUAUUGGGCGUAAAGAGCUCGUAGGCGGUUCAGUAAGUCGGGUGUGAAAACUCUGGGCUUAACCCAGAGCCGCCACUCGAUACUGCUGUGACUUGAGUUCGGUAGGGGAGCAGGGAAUUCCUGGUGUAGCGGUGAAAUGCGCAGAUAUUAGGAGGAACACCGGUGGCGAAGGCGCUGCUCUGGGCCGAUACUGACGCUGAGGAGCGAAAGCGUGGGUAGCAAACAGGAUUAGAUACCCUGGUAGUCCACGCCGUAAACGUUGGGCACUAGGUGUGGGUUCCAACCAACGGAAUCCGCGCCGUCGCUAACGCAUUAAGUGCCCGCCUGGGGAGUACGGCGGCAACGCUAAAACUCAAAGGAAUUGACGG
Molecule: ribosomal RNA, 563 nt
Filed under: uncultured bacterium
Lineage: Bacteria
Description: bacterial SSU rRNA
Rfam family: Bacterial small subunit ribosomal RNA
Source: RNAcentral